CAUUCAACCUCGUUCCCAGGGCUUUUCUCCUUUUCCCGCCUUCCCAAUGACAAAAAGGGAAAAGCCCUGGGAACGAGGUUGA
This 82-nucleotide microRNA precursor is filed under the name Paramuricea clavata. Lineage: Eukaryota; Metazoa; Cnidaria; Anthozoa; Malacalcyonacea; Plexauridae. The record is from RNAcentral.